AAAUCCGGAAAAUCAAGGCUGAGGCGUGAUGACGAGGCACUACGGUGCUGAAGCACAAAUGCCCUGCUUCCAGGAAAAGCCUCUAAGCAUCAGGUAACAUCAAAUCGUACCCCAAACCGACACAGGUGGUCAGGUAGAGAAUACCAAGGCGCUUGAGAGAACUCGGGUGAAGGAACUAGGCAAAAUGGUGCCGUAACUUCGGGAGAAGGCACGCUGAUAUGUAGGUGAAGUCCCUUGCGGAUGGAGCUGAAAUCAGUCGAAGAUACCAGCUGGCUGCAACUGUUUAUUAAAAACACAGCACUGUGCAAACACGAAAGUGGACGUAUACGGUGUGACGCCUGCCCGGUGCCGGAAGGUUAAUUGAUGGGGUCAGCGCAAGCGAAGCUCUUGAUCGAAGCCCCGGUAAACGGCGGCCGUAACUAUAACGGUCCUAAGGUAGCGAAAUUCCUUGUCGGGUAAGUUCCGACCUGCACGAAUGGCGUAAUGAUGGCCAGGCUGUCUCCACCCGAGACUCAGUGAAAUUGAACUCGCUGUGAAGAUGCAGUGUACCCGCGGCAAGACGGAAAGACCCCGUGAACCUUUACUAUAGCUUGACACUGAACAUUGAGCCUUGAUGUGUAGGAUAGGUGGGAGGCUUGGAAGUGUGGACGCCAGUCUGCAUGGAGCCGACCUUGAAAUACCACCCUUUAAUGUUUGAUGUUCUAACGUUGACCCGUAAUCCGGGUUGCGGACAGUGUCUGGUGGGUAGUUUGACUGGGGCGGUCUCCUCCUAAAGAGUAACGGAGGAGCACGAAGGUUGGCUAAUCCUGGUCGGACAUCAGGAGGUUAGUGCAAUGGCAUAAGCCAGCUUGACUGCGAGCGUGACGGCGCGAGCAGGUGCGAAAGCAGGUCAUAGUGAUCCGGUGGUUCUGAAUGGAAGGGCCAUCGCUCAACGGAUAAAAGGUACUCCGGGGAUAACAGGCUGAUACCGCCCAAGAGUUCAUAUCGACGGCGGUGUUUGGCACCUCGAUGUCGGCUCAUCACAUCCUGGGGCUGAAGUAGGUCCCAAGGGUAUGGCUGUUCGCCAUUUAAAGUGGUACGCGAGCUGGGUUUAGAACGUCGUGAGACAGUUCGGUCCCUAUCUGCCGUGGGCGCUGGAGAACUGAGGGGGGCUGCUCCUAGUACGAGAGGACCGGAGUGGACGCAUCACUGGUGUUCGGGUUGUCAUGCCAAUGGCACUGCCCGGUAGCUAAAUGCGGAAGAGAUAAGUGCUGAAAGCAUCUAAGCACGAAACUUGCCCCGAGAUGAGUUCUCCCUGACCCUUUAAGGGUCCUGAAGGAACGUUGAAGACGACGACGUUGAUAGGCCGGGUGUGUAAGCGCAGCGAUGCGUUGAGCUAACCGGUACUAAUGAACCGUGAGGCUUAACCUU
RNAcentral lists this ribosomal RNA (1410 nucleotides) under gut metagenome. RNAcentral's name for it is "bacterial LSU rRNA". It matches the Rfam family "Bacterial large subunit ribosomal RNA", at positions 1538 to 2925 of the family's 2925-position model. The record is from RNAcentral.